CUUCGGCCCGAGUUGUAAUUUGUAGAGGAUGUUUAUGGUGCGGUACCUUCCGAGUUCCCUGGAACGGGACGCCACAGAGGGUGAGAGCCCCGUCUGGUUGGAUACUAAACCUGUGUUAAACUCCUUCAACGAGUCGAGUAGUUUGGGAAUGCUGCUCUAAAUGGGAGGUAAAUCUCUUCUAAAGCUAAAUACCGGCCAGAGACCGAUAGCGCACAAGUAGAGUGAUCGAAAGAUGAAAAGCACCUUGAAAAGGGGGUUAAACAGUACGUGAAAUUGUUGAAAGGGAAGCGUUUAUGACCAGACUUGUGCCGUGUGGCUCAUCCGAGGUUCUCCCCGGUGCACUCCACGCGGCUCAGGCCAACAUCGGUUCUUGUUGGGGGAUAAGAGUAGUAGGAACGUAGCUCCCCUCGGGGAGUGUUAUAGCCUAUUAUACGAUACCCUGGCGGGGACCGAGGACCGCGCUUCGGCUAGGAUGUUGGCGUAAUGGUCAUUAGCGACCCGUCUUGAAACACGGACCAAGGAGUCGUCCAUUAGAGCGAGCGUUUGGGUGUAAAACCCGCACGCGUAAUGAAAGUGAAAUUAGGUGAGAGCUUCGGCGCAUCAUCGACCGAUCCUGAAGUUUACGGAUGGAUUUGAGUAAGAGUUUUAACGGACGGACCCGAAAGACAGUGAACUAUGCUUGAAUAGGGUGAAGCCAGAGGAAACUCUGGUGGAGGCUCGCAGCGGUUCUGACGUGCAAAUCGAUCGUCAAAUUUGAGCAUGGGGGCGAAAGACUAAUCGAAC
This 783-nucleotide ribosomal RNA is filed under the name Gnomonia virginianae. Its description in RNAcentral is "eukaryotic LSU rRNA". It matches the Rfam family "Eukaryotic large subunit ribosomal RNA", at positions 131 to 940 of the family's 3401-position model. Lineage: Eukaryota; Fungi; Ascomycota; Sordariomycetes; Diaporthales; Gnomoniaceae. The record is from RNAcentral.